Molecule: non-coding RNA, 148 nt
Filed under: Chlorocebus sabaeus (green monkey)
Lineage: Eukaryota; Metazoa; Chordata; Mammalia; Primates; Cercopithecidae
Source: Rfam by way of RNAcentral
GCUGGGCGUGGUGGCGUGCGCCUGUAAUCCCAGCUACUUGGGAGGCUGAGGCAGGAGAAUUGCUUGAACCCGGGAGGCAGAGGUUGCAGUGAGCCGAGAUCACACCACUGCACUCCAGCCUGAGUGACAGAGUGAUACUCUGUCUCAA